AACGCUGGCGGCAUGCCUUACACAUGCAAGUCGAACGGCAGCACGGGAGCAAUCCUGGUGGCGAGUGGCGAACGGGUGAGUAAUAUAUCGGAACGUGCCCAGUCGUGGGGGAUAACGUAGCGAAAGCUACGCUAAUACCGCAUACGAUCUAUGGAUGAAAGCGGGGGAUCGCAAGACCUCGCGCGAUUGGAGCGGCCGAUAUCAGAUUAGGUAGUUGGUGGGGUAAAGGCUCACCAAGCCAACGAUCUGUAGCUGGUCUGAGAGGACGACCAGCCACACUGGAACUGAGACACGGUCCAGACUCCUACGGGAGGCAGCAGUGAGGAAUAUUGGACAAUGGGCGCAAGCCUGAUCCAGCCAUGCCGCGUGCAGGAUGACGGUCCUAUGGAUUGUAAACUGCUUUUGUACAGGAAGAAACACUCCCUCGUGAGGGAGCUUGACGGUACUGUAAGAAUAAGGAUCGGCUAACUCCGUG
RNAcentral lists this ribosomal RNA (475 nucleotides) under uncultured bacterium. Its description in RNAcentral is "bacterial SSU rRNA". It matches the Rfam family "Bacterial small subunit ribosomal RNA", at positions 32 to 507 of the family's 1533-position model. The record is from RNAcentral.